AGCAAAUCUAGCUUUGUGAUUGGCUCAUGGUCCUGUCAAUCUCGAUCUGAACUGUGUUGCUAGGUGAAGAUUCCAACUUCCUGGGCAGAGGGUCAUGUAGUGGAAUAGAGCUGUACCUGGCUUCAGGCGAGACUUGGAUUCUUGUGCUGUCACUCAGGCUGGAGUGCAACGUUGAAAUCUCGGCUCACUGCAACUUCUGCCUCCCGGAUUCAGGCAAUUCUUGUGUCUCAGCCUCCUAAGAAGCUGAGAUUACAGCAACUCCAAAAUGGAAGUACUAUUGUUAUCUCCGUUUACAAAUUAGGAAACUGAGGCACAGAUAUGCUCUUGGGUACUUGUCAGCAGCAGUUGUUCUACAAGCUAAAUAUCUGGAUAUCUUAAAUCUCAGAUGAGCGUCUUAGCCUCUGGAUUACUGCUCAAUGAGGAAAGCUAUGAAAUGCAUGGAUAACUUGCUAAUCAGUAUUUGCCAUAUGUGCUAGCAGCAUCAGCAUCAGUUGGGAGAUUAUGGUGGCCUCCAUGUCAGACCUCCUAAAUCGGAAUAUCAGAGAAGGUGGCCCAGGUUACCAUGCUUCAUCUGCCAAUGCAUUGAAAACUUGGAAUGUAAAUUAAUUCAACCAUUGUGGAAGAUGGUGUAGUGAUUCCUCAAAGACCUAGAAGCAGAAAUAUCAUUUGAUCCAGAAAUCCCAUUACUGUGUAUACACCCAAAGGAAUAUAAACCAUUCUAUUACAAAGAUACAUGCGUGCGUAUGUUCAUUGCAG
This 756-nucleotide long non-coding RNA is filed under the name Homo sapiens (human). Its description in RNAcentral is "HSALNT0334559". Lineage: Eukaryota; Metazoa; Chordata; Mammalia; Primates; Hominidae. The record is from RNAcentral.